AACGAACGCUGGCGGCAGGCCUAACACAUGCAAGUCGAGCGAGGACUUCGGUUCUAGCGGCGGACGGGUGAGUAACGCGUGGGAAUGUGCCCUUCUCUACGGAAUAGCCCUGGGAAACUGGGAGUAAUACCGUAUACGCCCUAUUGGGGAAAGAUUUAUCGGAGAAGGAUCAGCCCGCGUUGGAUUAGGUAGUUGGUGGGGUAAUGGCCUACCAAGCCGACGAUCCAUAGCUGGUUUGAGAGGAUGAUCAGCCACACUGGGACUGAGACACGGCCCAGACUCCGACGGGAGGCAGCAGUGGGGAAUCUGAGACAAUGGGGGCAACCCUGAUCUAGCCAGGCCGCGUGAGUGAUGAAGGCCUUAGGGUUGUAAAGCUCUUUCAGCUGGGAAGAUAAUGACGGUACCAGCAGAAGAAGCCCCGGCUAACUCCGU
This 432-nucleotide ribosomal RNA is filed under the name uncultured bacterium. RNAcentral's name for it is "partial 16S ribosomal RNA". It matches the Rfam family "Bacterial small subunit ribosomal RNA", at positions 29 to 506 of the family's 1533-position model. The record is from RNAcentral.